AUGCGCAGGCGCCAAGCGCUGGCAGAGGAGACACACACUAUUCCCAAGUCCUCCCAGUCAGGGUUCAACAUUGAACACAGGACACUUACCGUGGACUUAAGGCUCAUAUUGGUUUCCUUUGUUCUUAUUUUACAAGAUGUCCAGUGUGAGGUGCAGUUGCUGGAGUCUGGGGGAGGCAUAAUGCUGCCUGCAAAGUCCCUGAAACUCUCCUGUGCAGCCUCUGGAUUUACCUUGAGUGGCUACUGGGUCCGCCAGGCUCCAGGGAAAAGGCUAGAGUGGGUCGCAUAUAUUAAUCAAUAUGGUAGCACCUACUAUACCGACGCUGUGAAGGGCCGGUUCACAAUCUCCAGAGACAAUGCCAAGAACACUCUGUACCUGGAAAUGAGCAGUCUGAAGUCUGAGGACACAGCCAUGUAUUACUGUGCAAGAGACACAAUGAGUGAAUGCUACUGUGAGCUCAGACAAAAACACCGCUGUGGGGAACACGGGACCAGCAGGGGGCACUGA
This is a non-coding RNA of Alexandromys fortis (reed vole), 507 nucleotides long. NCBI's taxonomy places the organism in Eukaryota, Metazoa, Chordata, Mammalia, Rodentia, Cricetidae. The record is from the annotation of a RefSeq genome assembly.